UAGGGAAUCUUCCACAAUGGACGCAAGUCUGAUGGAGCAACGCCGCGUGAGUGAAGAAGGUCUUCGGAUCGUAAAACUCUGUUGUUAGAGAAGAACACGAGUGAGAGUAACUGUUCAUUCGAUGAUGGUAUCUAACCAGCAAGUCACGGCUAACUACGUGCCAA
This 164-nucleotide ribosomal RNA is filed under the name uncultured bacterium. Its description in RNAcentral is "partial 16S rRNA". It matches the Rfam family "Bacterial small subunit ribosomal RNA", at positions 355 to 511 of the family's 1533-position model. The record is from RNAcentral.